GACGAACGCUGGCGGCGUGCUUAACACAUGCAAGUCGAACGAAGUGGCGAACGGGUGAGUAACGCGUAAUCAACCUGCCCUUCAGAGGGGGACAACAGUUGGAAACGACGGCUAAUACCGCAUACUGAAGGAGGGGAUUGCGUCUGAUGUGCUAGUUGGAGGGGUAACGGCCCACUAAGGCGAUGAUCAGUAGCCGGUCUGGGAGUAUGAACGGCCACAGUGGGAGUGAGACACGGCCCAGCAUCCUCAGGGGGGCAUCAGUGGGGAAUCUUCCGUGAUGGGCGAAAGUCUGGCGGAGCAACGCUGCGUGAGUGAUGACGGCCUUCGGUUUGUAAAGCGCUUUUAAUCGGGACGCGGUACCGGAAUAGAACGCCCCGGCUAACUACGUGCCUGCAGCCGCGGUAAUUC
This 408-nucleotide ribosomal RNA is filed under the name uncultured bacterium. RNAcentral's name for it is "partial 16S ribosomal RNA". It matches the Rfam family "Bacterial small subunit ribosomal RNA", at positions 28 to 526 of the family's 1533-position model. The record is from RNAcentral.